Molecule: ribosomal RNA, 227 nt
Filed under: uncultured bacterium
Lineage: Bacteria
Description: partial 16S ribosomal RNA
Rfam family: Bacterial small subunit ribosomal RNA
Source: RNAcentral
GAUGAACGCUAGCGGCAGGCCUAAUACAUGCAAGUCGGACGGGAUUGGAGAGCUUGCUUUCCAUGAGAGUGGCGCACGGGUGCGUAACACGUAUGUAACCUACCUUUAUCAGGGGGAUAGCCUCUCGAAAGAGAGAUUAAGCCCGCAUAACAUCAAGUUGUGGCAUCACAGUUUGAUCAAAUAUUUAUAGGAUAAAGAUGGGCAUGCGGAACAUAGCUAGUUGGUAA